RNAcentral lists this ribosomal RNA (253 nucleotides) under uncultured bacterium. Its description in RNAcentral is "partial 16S ribosomal RNA". It matches the Rfam family "Bacterial small subunit ribosomal RNA", at positions 524 to 776 of the family's 1533-position model. The record is from RNAcentral.
UACGUAGGGUGCGAGCGUUAAUCGGAAUUACUGGGCGUAAAGCGUGCGCAGGCGGUUGAUUAAGUCUGAUGUGAAAGCCCCGGGCUCAACCUGGGAAUGGCAUUGGAAACUGGUCAGCUGGAGUGUGGCAGAGGGGGGUGGAAUUCCGCGUGUAGCAGUGAAAUGCGUAGAGAUGCGGAGGAACACCGAUGGCGAAGGCAGCCCCCUGGGCCAACACUGACGCUCAUGCACGAAAGCGUGGGGAGCAAACAGG